UGGGGAAUCUUCCGCAAUGGGCGAAAGCCUGACGGAGCAACGCCGCGUGGGUGAAGAAGGCCUUCGGGUUGUAAAGCCCUGUCUUAUGGGAAGAAGAAAGUGACGGUACCAUAGGAGGAAGCCACGGCUAACUACGUGCCAGCAGCCGCGGUAAUACGUAGGUGGCAAGCGUUGUCCGGAAUCACUGGGCGUAAAGGGCGCGUAGGCGGUUUUUUAAGUCGGGUGUGAAAUCUUUGGGCUUAACCUGAAGUUUGCAUUCGAUACUGGGGGACUUGAGUGCAGGAGAGGGCAGUGGAAUUCCUAGUGUAGCGGUGAAAUGCGUAGAUAUUAGGAGGAACACCAGUGGCGAAGGCGGCUGCCUGGACUGUAACUGACGCUGAGGCGCGAAAGCGUGGGGAGCAAACAGG
Molecule: ribosomal RNA, 407 nt
Filed under: uncultured prokaryote
Also listed under: 1 other name
Description: bacterial SSU rRNA
Rfam family: Bacterial small subunit ribosomal RNA
Source: RNAcentral